GCCGCGGUAAUACCCGCAGCCCGAGUGGUGGUCGAUUUUAUUGAAGUCUAAAACGUUCGUAGCCGGUCUGAUAAAUCCCUGGGUAAAUCGGGUGGCUUAACCAUCCGAAUUCCGGGGAGACUGUCAGGCUUGGGAUCGGGAGAGGUAUGAGGUACUUCAGGGGUAGGGUAAAAUCCUGUAAUCCUUGGAGGACCACCGGUGGCGAAGGCGUCAUACUAGAACGAAUCCGACGGUGAGGGACGAAGCCCUAGGUCGCAAACGGGAUUAGAUACCCCGGUAGUCUAGGGUGUAAACGCCUGCAGACUAGGUGUUGGAGGCCCUACGGGGGCACCCAGUGCCCGAGAGAAGUUGUUAAGUCUGCUACUUGGGGAGUACGUCCGCAAGGAUGAAACUUAAAGGAAUUGGCGGGGGAGCACCGCAAAACCGGGAGGAGCGUGCGGUUUUAAUUGGAUUCAACACCGGAAAACUCAACCAAGGGAGACCAUCACAUUGAAAGCCAGGCUAAUGACUUUGCUUGAUUCUUGGAGGAGUGGUGCAUGG
This 540-nucleotide ribosomal RNA is filed under the name uncultured archaeon. Its description in RNAcentral is "bacterial SSU rRNA". It matches the Rfam family "Archaeal small subunit ribosomal RNA", at positions 464 to 997 of the family's 1478-position model. The record is from RNAcentral.